RNAcentral lists this ribosomal RNA (458 nucleotides) under uncultured Janibacter sp. RNAcentral describes it as "bacterial SSU rRNA". It matches the Rfam family "Bacterial small subunit ribosomal RNA", at positions 924 to 1376 of the family's 1533-position model. The record is from RNAcentral. Lineage: Bacteria; Bacillati; Actinomycetota; Actinomycetes; Micrococcales; Intrasporangiaceae.
CACAAGCGGUGGAGCAUGCGGAUUAAUUCGAUGCAACGCGAAGAACCUUACCAAGGCUUGACAUAUACCGGAAACUUCCAGAGAUGGUUGCCCCUUUGGGUCGGUAUACAGGUGGUGCAUGGUUGUCGUCAGCUCGUGUCGUGAGAUGUUGGGUUAAGUCCCGCAACGAGCGCAACCCUCGUUCUAUGUUGCCAGCACGUAAUGUGGGGACUCAUGGAAGACUGCCGGGGUCAACUCGGAGGAAGGUGGGGAUGACGUCAAAUCAUCAUGCCCCUUAUGUCUUGGGCUUCACGCAUGCUACAAUGGCCGGUACAAAGGGCUGCGAUACCGCAAGGUGGAGCGAAUCCCAAAAAACCGGUCUCAGUUCGGAUUGGGGUCUGCAACUCGACCCCAUGAAGUCGGAGUCGCUAGUAAUCGCAGAUCAGCAACGCUCGCGGUUCCGAAUACGUUCCGGCCUU